GUGCUCGCUUCGGCAGCACAUAUACUAAAAUUGGAACGAUACAGAGAAGAUUAGCAUGGCCCCUGCGCUGCUCCUAAUUUUAUAAAACACAUUUCAGUAACUU
Chlorocebus sabaeus (green monkey) is the source of this 103-nucleotide non-coding RNA. The record is from RefSeq and is a predicted model, not a curated record. Lineage: Eukaryota; Metazoa; Chordata; Mammalia; Primates; Cercopithecidae.